RNAcentral lists this ribosomal RNA (265 nucleotides) under uncultured bacterium. RNAcentral's name for it is "partial 16S ribosomal RNA". It matches the Rfam family "Bacterial small subunit ribosomal RNA", at positions 534 to 793 of the family's 1533-position model. The record is from RNAcentral.
GCGAGCGUUAAUCGGAAUUACUGGGCGUAAAGCGCAUGCAGGUGGUUGUUAAGUCAGAUGUGAAAGACCCGGGGCGUCAACCUCGGAAUUGCAUUUGUAAACUAGGCAGACUAGAGUACUGUAGAGGGGGGUAGGAAUUUCAGGUGUAGCGGUGAAAUGCGUAGAGAUCUGAAGGAAUACCGGUGGCGAAGGCGGCCCCCUCGGACAGAUACUGACACUCAGAUGCGAAAGCGUGGGGAGCAAACAGGAUUAGAUACCCUGGUAG